GCACGGAGUUAGCCGAUCCUUAUUCUUACAGUACCGUCAAGCUCCGACACGUCGGAGUGUUUCUUCCUGUACAAAAGCAGUUUACAAUCCAUAGGACCGUCAUCCUGCACGCGGCAUGGCUGGAUCAGGCUUGCGCCCAUUGUCCAAUAUUCCUCA
This 156-nucleotide ribosomal RNA is filed under the name uncultured bacterium. RNAcentral describes it as "partial 16S ribosomal RNA". The record is from RNAcentral.